This 282-nucleotide long non-coding RNA is filed under the name Brassica napus (rape). RNAcentral describes it as "long non-coding RNA (BNAP_LNC018590)". The record is from RNAcentral. Lineage: Eukaryota; Viridiplantae; Streptophyta; Magnoliopsida; Brassicales; Brassicaceae.
AUUGAAACGAACUAACAUUAUGAUUAUUUUAAGAAUUGCAGUUUUUAUGAUGCUUUUGCUAAUUAAAGCAGUGAGCUGAUAUAUACGACAAUAGUACAUGUUAUAUGUUAUUGGAUUUAGUAAUAAUGCCAAUGGUAAAAUAAGAUAUUUUUGUAUUGGUACAACAGAAGAUGCUGGUGGUGGGUUUCAAUAGACAAUGUACGUGAUUUGUUGCUAUUAAAAUUCAUCGUCGGUCCAACGGUCGGGUUUUAGGAUUUUUGUGGUAUAUUUACAUAUUGGAUC